Molecule: transfer RNA, 75 nt
Filed under: subsurface metagenome
Description: tRNA-Met
Rfam family: tRNA
About the family: Transfer RNA (tRNA) molecules are approximately 80 nucleotides in length. Their secondary structure includes four short double-helical elements and three loops (D, anti-codon, and T loops).
Source: RNAcentral
UGCGAGAUGGAGCAGUGGUUAGCUCGUCAGCCUCAUAAGCUGAAGGUCGGAGGUUCAAAUCCUCCUCUCGCUACC